GGCGGCGUGCCUAACACAUGCAAGUCGAACGAGAUCUGCGGAUCUAGUGGCGAACGGGUGAGUAACACGUGAGGAACGUACCCCGAAGACUGGAAUAAGCCUGGGAAACUGGGUCUAAUGCCGGAUACCCUGGCCUCAUCGCAUGAUGAGAUCAGGAAAGUCUUCUCGCUUCGGGAGCGCCUCGCGGCCUAUCAGCUAGUUGGUGGGGUAAUGGCCUACCAAGGCAUCGACGGGUAGCUGGUCUGAGAGGACGAUCAGCCACACUGGGACUGAGACACGGCCCAGACUCCUACGGGAGGCAGCAGUGGGGAAUCUUGCGCAAUGGCGGAANGCCUGNNGCAGCAACGNCGCGUGCGGGAUNAAGGCUUCGGGUUGUAAACCNNUUUCAGCAGGGACGAAAUUGACGGUACCUGCAGA
RNAcentral lists this ribosomal RNA (417 nucleotides) under uncultured bacterium. RNAcentral describes it as "bacterial SSU rRNA". It matches the Rfam family "Bacterial small subunit ribosomal RNA", at positions 38 to 485 of the family's 1533-position model. The record is from RNAcentral.